GUGAUUGCCAUCUUGGCUUAAAACUAUAUCCAUCAACACCUGUGAACUGUCUGAUUGAAUCUUUAUUGAUUCGAUUUUACAAACAUUGUGUAAUGAACGUCAUAACAUUAUAAUAAAAAA
This 120-nucleotide unclassified non-coding RNA is filed under the name Apiotrichum otae. RNAcentral's name for it is "partial miscellaneous RNA". The record is from RNAcentral. Lineage: Eukaryota; Fungi; Basidiomycota; Tremellomycetes; Trichosporonales; Trichosporonaceae.